GUUUACAAGUAACACUGAAUGACUUCCUGAUUGACUGAUUGAUUGAUUCUGUUGUUAUAGAAACUACCAGACUCCAGUGUAAUGGUAUUUCUUCCUGACUUUAUGUGUGACAAGGUUCUGUCUCCCUGGGCUGGCUUCAUCUGGAUCAGGAAGAGUAACCGCAUGCACAGCAUCAAGAGGAAGAUGUUUCCUGUUCUCCCUGCUCAUUGGAGUUAGUCUUCUCUGUCCUGUUGGCCUUGUGACUCUGGUGAAUCAAGUGUGAGGUAAGUGACAUUCUCUUUCAGAGCUAAUGUGUAGUGCGCUAGAUUACCCUCCCU
Molecule: long non-coding RNA, 317 nt
Filed under: Fukomys damarensis (Damara mole-rat)
Lineage: Eukaryota; Metazoa; Chordata; Mammalia; Rodentia; Bathyergidae
Description: lncRNA (ENSFDAG00000026376.1)
Source: RNAcentral